UGCUCUGACAACCAGGUGUCGUCCACGGG
Molecule: non-coding RNA, 29 nt
Filed under: Homo sapiens (human)
Lineage: Eukaryota; Metazoa; Chordata; Mammalia; Primates; Hominidae
Source: RNAcentral